AGUUUGAUCCUGGCUCAGAUUGAACGCUGGCGGCAUGCCUUACACAUGCAAGUCGAACGGUAACAGGUCUUCGGAUGCUGACGAGUGGCGAACGGGUGAGUAAUACAUCGGAACGUGCCCGAGAGUGGGGGAUAACGAAGCGAAAGCUUUGCUAAUACCGCAUACGAUCUCAGGAUGAAAGCAGGGGACCGCAAGGCCUUGCGCUCACGGAGCGGCCGAUGGCAGAUUAGGUAGUUGGUGGGAUAAAAGCUUACCAAGCCGACGAUCUGUAGCUGGUCUGAGAGGACGACCAGCCACACUGGGACUGAGACACGGCCCAGACUCCUACGGGAGGCAGCAGUGGGGAGUUUUGGACAAUGGGCGCAAGCCUGAUCCAGCCAUGCCGCGUGCAGGAUGAAGGCCUUCGGGUUGUAAACUGCUUUUGUACGGAACGAAAAGACUCUGGUUAAUACCUGGGGUCCAUGACGGUACCGUAAGAAUAAGCACCGGCUAACUACGUGCCAGCAGCCGCGGUAAUACGUAGGGUGCGAGCGUUAAUCGGAAUUACAGGGCGUAAAGCGUGCGCAGGCGGUUAUAUAAGACAGAUGUGAAAUCCCCGGGCUCAACCUGGGAACUGCAUUUGUGACUGUAUAGCUAGAGUACGGCAGA
This 648-nucleotide ribosomal RNA is filed under the name uncultured bacterium. RNAcentral's name for it is "bacterial SSU rRNA". It matches the Rfam family "Bacterial small subunit ribosomal RNA", at positions 10 to 655 of the family's 1533-position model. The record is from RNAcentral.